GGCUAACGCUGGCGGCGUGUCUUAGCCAUGCAAGUCGAGCGGACUUAUGGGGUAACUUAUAAGUCAGCGGCGGACGGCGGAGUAACACGUAGCUAACCUACCCUCUGGACGGGGAUAACCUACCGAAAGGUGGGCUAAUACCCGAUGUAGUCAUCCUGUAUAGGGGUGAUGAAAGGUGGGCUUCUGUUUACAAGCUCAUGCUGGAGGAGGGGGCUGCGGCCUAUCAGGUAGUUGGUAGGGUAAUAGCCUACCAAGCCGAUGACGGGUAGCCGGCCUGAGAGGGUGACCGGCCCGAGGGGCACUGAGAUACGGGUCCCACUCCUACGGGAGGCAGCAGGCUAGAAAUUUGGGCAAUGGGGGAAACCUUGACCCAGUGACGCCGCGUGCAGGAAGGAGCCCUUCGGGGUGUAAACUGCUGUCGUGUAGGGAGAAGGGUACUAAGGUGAACAAUCUUAGUACUUGACGGUACUACAGGAGGAAGCCCAGGCUAACCUCGUG
RNAcentral lists this ribosomal RNA (498 nucleotides) under uncultured bacterium. Its description in RNAcentral is "bacterial SSU rRNA". It matches the Rfam family "Bacterial small subunit ribosomal RNA", at positions 28 to 507 of the family's 1533-position model. The record is from RNAcentral.